Molecule: transfer RNA, 68 nt
Filed under: Marmota monax (woodchuck)
Lineage: Eukaryota; Metazoa; Chordata; Mammalia; Rodentia; Sciuridae
Description: tRNA.Ala
Source: RNAcentral
GGAAUAUAGCUCAGUUGUAGAGUGUUUGCUUCGCAUGCACAAUGCCCUGGGUUCAAUCCCUAGCACCA